RNAcentral lists this ribosomal RNA (490 nucleotides) under uncultured bacterium. RNAcentral's name for it is "partial 16S ribosomal RNA". It matches the Rfam family "Bacterial small subunit ribosomal RNA", at positions 28 to 507 of the family's 1533-position model. The record is from RNAcentral.
GAUGAACGCUAGCUACAGGCUUAACACAUGCAAGUCGCGGGGCAGCAUGGGGGUUGCUUGCACUCCCCGAUGGCGACCGGCGCACGGGUGAGUAACGCGUAUCCAACCUGCCCUUCACCACGGGCUAACCCGGCGAAAGUCGGACUAAUACCGUAUGUUGUCCAUUGACGGCCUCCGAUUUUGACGAACGGCUUGGCGGUGAGGGAUGGGGAUGCGUCCGAUUAGCCAGACGGCGGGGUAACGGCCCACCGUGGCUACGAUCGGUAGGGGGUCUGAGAGGAAGGUCCCCCACACGGGAACUGAGACACGGUCCAGACUCCUACGGGAGGCAGCAGUGAGGAAUAUAGGUCAAUGGGCGUAAGCCUGAACCAGCCAAGUAGCGUGCAGGAUGACGGCCCUAUGGGUUGUAAACUGCUUUUAUGCGGGGAUAAAGUGGCCCACGUGUGGGCUUUUGCAGGUACCGCAUGAAUAAGGACCGGCUAAUUCCGUG